RNAcentral lists this ribosomal RNA (632 nucleotides) under uncultured soil bacterium. RNAcentral describes it as "partial small subunit ribosomal RNA". It matches the Rfam family "Bacterial small subunit ribosomal RNA", at positions 1 to 512 of the family's 1533-position model. The record is from RNAcentral.
UAGAGUUUGAUCCUGGCUCAGGGUUAACGCUGGCGGCGCGCAUAACACAUGCAAGUCGAGCGAGGGCUCAUUUCACGCAAGGGAGAUGAGUUCCUAGCGGCGAACGGGUGAGUAACACGUGAGCAACCUUUCCUAUCGCGGGGGAUAACAGCGGGAAACCGCUGCUAAUACCGCAUGUCGUCACCGGGUCGCAUGGCCGGGUGAAGAAAGCAGCAAUGCACGAUGGGGGGUGGGCCCGCGGCCCUUAUCAGCUUAGUCCGGUGGGGGUUAACCGGCCUUCCCAAGGCCGAUUGAACCGGGUAGCUUGGGUCUUGAGAGGGACAACCCCCCCCCCCGGGGAACUGAAAAACGGGGCCCCGACUCUCUACGGGGAGGCAGCGUGGUGUAAAUCUUUCCGAAUAGGGGCGAAAAGACUCUACAGAAACGCCCCCCCCGUGUGGAAAAAAAAUCUCUCUCGGAAUAUAACACCUCUGUGUGAGGGGAGAAAAUGUGUGUCCCUCCAAGAAGAGACGCGGUGAUAUGGGGGCACUACGCGUGGUAAAUCGUCGGGGGAGGAUUUCAUAUUUCUCGUCGAACCGUUAGGGCGGGGGUAACGUGAUGGUAUCCCCGGGUCCCCCCGACAUUAUGACACC